CCUUCAAGGGAAAUUUUGUCAUUUUUUUUUAACAUUAUCCCAAUUAGUUAAAAACUCUUUUUAUUCAUUGGAUCCAGAAAUUUAUUUGCAAAUACGUUACGUUUUUUUUGUUUCCAGCAAAUAACACAUUACUUUUAUUUCCCUGCAAAUAAUUUUUUUAUUUUUAUGUGUUUAGCUGUUUCUUUAUUUUCCUCAAUUUCUUGUAUUAAACCCCCCUCUUCAUCUGCCAGUUUCACGACUUAAUAUCACCUCCCAACAGUCUUAAUCUCUCUCUCGAACUCAACUUCUAAGAAGCUCCAUAGGUUGGCUCAAGUAAUCAAGCUUAUCCUUGCGAUCUAAAGUCCUUUAAAUGUUUUGAGGGCAGAGGUGAACACUUUGGCACCUACAUAAUGAAAAUUAUAGAUUUAGGCAAGGAAAAGGUCAGAGAGAUUUCAGAGGGAGUUUAAGGCGUCCAGGAAGGAAAUGUUUUGGAAUCAAAUACCGUGUUUUUUUCAUCCAUGAUAUACUAGCAUGCGAGGUUUUGCCUUAUAGCAUUUUGAUGCAAAUUUCUGUUUGAUCAUGUGUUCUCUGUUUUCAAGGCCUUGAAACUGACAUUUUAAGAACUGGAUUUGAUUAGAUUGAUCAGUGAUUUUGGAGACACCUUAUGUUUUUUGCCUCUUCAAUGUUGCAUCAGCUGUUCACGCAUUUCAUAUUUGAUGAUUUAUACUGUAAAUGCAUGCGUCAUGGUGACUACCUCGGAGUAUUAUUUCCAUUAUCAGUGGCAUUCAUGAAUCUUCAUCAUACCUUACUCGAGAUAUCUCUUCUAACAUGUUUUACAGUACUUUUUGUCAAGAAAAAAAAAGAUACCUCUUCUAACGUAAUUGUCAAGCCAGGUGAAGGAUGGAGUUGGCCUGGAAUAACUGUUUUUGGCUGUAAUGAUUUCUUAGAAGUUCAAGAAUUAGGCUAUGGCUAAGGUGGGGGAACCAGGACGGAGGUGUGUCUUAACCAAGUUUACCAGGAAUGGCUAUGCACUGCCAGUCCCUUCAUCAGAUGCCGUUAAAUCCCAGAACAGCUGACGGAAUUCCUGAAUCUUGGUAUGUCUGCAUUUUUGUUGGUGACCUCUUGGCUGUGGGAUUCAAUGGAUGUAUUAUUAACAAUCUUGGGUCAAUUCAAUAUUAGCAUUGUAACUAUGAUACAAGGACAUUCUCAUCCUGUCAUUUAAAGUGAAGUCUGAAGAGAAGCACUAAUUCUACUUUGGAGUUGGGUUUAGGGGUUGAGUUGUAACGUCAGCUGUCCUUUUGAUAUUUUAGGAUUUGCGUCAGGAGUGACUUUUGAUGCAAUUACAUUCAUUUUUUUUCUUUGGUAAUAAACUGUAAAUAUUACCAUACCAAUACAAGUUAAUACACCUAAAGAGCACCUAAGUUCCUCGACCACCUUCUAGGAAGAGUGUACAGGCAACCUAAGCCUCAGAGAUAACUAGUUACAAUGCAUGUUAAGAAACCAAGUACACCUCCUAGCUAAUUGUUACCCGCUAUACAUACGAGUUCUCUCCAGAACACUAGUUUGUAUUGGCCGCAAAACAAAAUCUGUAUGUACACUGUCCCUUGAAGAUUUUCCCAUUCCAUGCGUGCCAUAUAUGGUCUAACAAAGCCCCAUAACUAGCAGCAACCACCUCUCUCUUAAACUUUCUCCAGUGUUCGUGUUUGUAUAGUCAUCUGCACAUCUUCCAGGUUGUCAAUAAUACCAAGCCAUCGGGUGAGACCAUACCAUACCUCUUUGGACCAGUCACAUUCUGCAAAUAGGUAUCUAGCACACUCAGUCACCUGCUUAUCACAGAGCACACACUUUUCAUCCUCAUAAUGCAGUCCCAAUCUUGCUAAUCUUUCCCUUGUGAAAAGCCUUUCCUGCACCGCAAUCCACAUUAGAAAACUAUGCUUAGGCAAGAACAAUUUGCUCCAAAUUAAUUCAGCUCCCUCAAAUGGAGGUCUCAUUCCCUGCAAUGGAUUGUAGCACAUGGAAACUGAAUACAUUCCAUUAGAGGUGAGAGUAUAUCUUUCCUGAUCAUACCAACUAACCAUUCCCAGCUUGAUUUUGUGCAAGUGUUUCCAGUACCAACUGCAGCUUUUAGAAGGGUUAUGAGCCCAAAAAUCGCCAUCCCUCUCAUAUAAAAACUAUGCACCCAUUGUACCCAAAGCUGCUCCUUUCUUUGCCAUAACCACCGUAUCAGUUUGCCCACAGAGGCAAUAUUCCACAACCUGCAAUUUUUAUAAUUCAGUCCACCCUGAGCCUUAGGUGCACGCACCUUAAACCAUGUUACUAAGACAAUUUUCCUUUUCUCCUCAUUGCACUCCCAUAAAAUAUGUCACACUUUGAGGCAACCAAAACACUGAGCUCCAAAAGUUUUGUAGCGAAAACAACACAAAAUUCACCACUUGUAAUUGUUCAAUAUAGGAUAAAUGCAUGGCUAAUGUAGCUCUAAUCUUACCUAUAAUUCUCAUACUUAGCUGGUGGAAAUCAAUCUUGUUGCAUUUUUUAUGGGACAAUGGAAGUCCAAGGUACCUAAUAGACAAGGUACCAACUGCAAGUCCUGUGAUGUCUAACAGCUUCCUCUUAAGGUCAUCUUUAAUCCUCGCUAUAAACAUAGUGGACUUCUCAUUAUGAGCUAUCAACCCUGUAAUGUCUGAGAAACAUCUAAUAGCCUCCAUAGUUCUGGUCACAGCCUCCUCACUUGCUUUGAAUAAGAUCAUUGAUCCUUCAGUAAAGGUAAGAUGAGUCAGCUUCAAAUCUUUACACAAAGGUGAUACCUGAAAUCAGGGACCUGUCUCAUUCUUGACAUUAGCGUAGAGAAAUAUUCAAUCACCAUGACAAAAAGUAAAGGUGAGAUGGGAUCACCUUGUCUCAACCCUCUCCUCCCUUCAAGAUACCCACACCCUUCACCAUUUACCUUCACUGAAAAAGUAGUGGUGGUCACACAUUCAAUCACAAUCUGCACAAUUUAGGCAGUGAUAUGCUCAAGUUUAGUCGAGUUUUAAGAAUUUUUACAUUCUAGUGAUAUGCAUAACUUGGUUGAUGGCUGUGACAAUACAACUACAACAACUAAUUUAUGUGUAUCAAAUACAGUAUACAUGUAUUCUUCAAGUAUUGUGUCUGAAUUUGAAACUUACCAGUCCUCACAUUGACACUUUGCUACAACUACAACUACAACUACAACUACAACAGCAACAACAACAACAUACUCAGUGUUACUCCACAGGUGGGGUCUUGGGAGGGUAGUGUGUACGCAAUCCUUACCCCUACCUCCUAUAUUUGGUAGACUCUUAGCUUAAUAAAAAACAUAACACAACACUCUGGAAAAGGAAUACCAGAAGUGUAGAAGCCACAACAAAAUAAUAUAGAUAACGUGUCAAAGCAUUCUAAAGAAAAGGAACAAUGUCUGCAACAAAAUAAUAUUAUAAUCGAAGUACAAGAAAUAACAAAUAAUAAUAAAAAUCGAAGAACAAGAAACUACAAGAGUAUUGCUUUAAUUGUUGGCAUGUAAGGUUAAAAGACACAAUACUCAACUACCUACUAGACUUAUACCCCAAUUUGUCUCCUCCAUAGCCUCCUAUCUAAGAUCUUGUCCUCGGUAAGCUGAAGUUGCGCCAUGUCCUGCCUAAUCACCUCUUUUCUCAAUACUUCUUCGGCCUAACUCUACCUCUCCUGACACCUUCCAUAGACGGCUCCAAAUUAGGACAUUCGUUCAUCUCCUCUUCACAUGCUCAAACCAUCUCAGUCUCGCUUCCUGUUUUUUAUCCUCUCUGAAGCUUGGGUAGCUUCGACCUUAGCCGAUAAAGUUUCCUUGACCCUAUUUUCGAUGCUAAUCCUAGCUAGAUCGUCGGCACUGUGAAUGUACUCAGUAACAAUGCUAGUGGCGACAACCAAUUGUUUAGCCAAAUGAACGUUAAUUUCAAUGGCGUUAUCAUAAUUAGGAGUAGCAAAGAAGUAAGUGAAAUUAAGGUUUGAACAAGGGGGGAAAAAGUAAACUUGGGGGGAGGAAUCAACAUCAGGGAUGCAAGAGAGGUGUAAGAUAGAGGUGCAUUUUGAGCAUUGGAUACAAAGGUGAGGAGGAGGAGGAUUGUGGAGGAAGAUAUCAAAGCAGAUAGGGCAAAAAGAACCCGGGUGGGAGUCAAGUACACAUGCAGUGCAAAGAUGGUGGUAGACACCUCUGCAGGGGAGAUAGUGGAGGAUGAAGGUGCAUUUAACGAAGCAAACUACACAUUUACGACCUUCUAAUGGUUGCUCCUCUACUUGCUGUGGCAUUCGAACUAGCAAUUUUAUCUAACCCUAACGGCCUAUCAUAAUCUCAAGUUUUUUUAUUUUUGAGGAAAAAUCUCAAGUUUAUUUAUAAGGACUGAUAUAAAAGAGUUGUUUAGAUUCUAAGUAUCCAACCCCCUUUUUUGUUCUUUUAUUUUCUCUACAUGCAUUUAUGAAUGAAAUAAAUACAUAUAUCCUUUUUUACAUGGAAAUCAUUAGCACAUAACACUCAUCCAUGCAAUUUGGGAAUUUUUUUUAAGAGAGUUGUCACUGUUAAUAUAUAACUCACUCAAUUGUCAUACUUGAAAUUUGGAAAAUUCAAGUUCCACCAAUAUUUGGCUGAAGGGUUAUAGAUUAAUGUGUGAAACUUUUGAGUUUUAAAUGCCUUCAUCAAUGAAUCUUGACGAUUUUAUAUCAUUCCUUAUUAACUUUCUCUCAUAUAUCUGGUGAGAAAAUGGGCCUCUCAUGAAGGGCUAUGAAGUUUACUAAACAAAUCCUUGAAUUCUAUUAUGCAUCUAUCCUUCAUAAAGAUCUACCCCUUUUUUUUUAUCGAAGUUUAAUAUAGUGGAGGGAACUAUAAUGGGAAGUAUAGGAUACUGCAUUCUUUUACUUGCCAUUUUAUAUCUUCUCCAGAAAAUUUUAGGCUAGAGAUUUACAAUGUGUUAGCAGCACGCGGUAGUUUUGUUCCACUAGAUGUCAUUACUUAAUGAAUACUCUCCUCUUGUCUUUAGUAAAUUUAUUAUGUAU
Long non-coding RNA from Capsicum annuum, 5019 nucleotides. RefSeq lists it as uncharacterized. The record is from RefSeq and is a predicted model, not a curated record. Lineage: Eukaryota; Viridiplantae; Streptophyta; Magnoliopsida; Solanales; Solanaceae. The transcript is spliced from 3 exons.